CCUACGGGGGGCAGCAGUGGGGAAUAUUGGGCAAUGGAGGAAACUCUGACCCAGCAACGCCGCGUGAAUGAUGAAGGUCUUCGGAUUGUAAAGUUCUUUUCUAAGGGAAGAAGAAAGUGACGGUACCUUAGGAAUAAGCCUCGGCUAACUACGUGCCAGCAGCCGCGGUAAUACGUAGGAGGCGAGCGUUAUCCGGAUUUACUGGGUGUAAAGGGUGCGUAGGUGGCAGGGCAAGUCAGAUGUGAAAGCCCGGGGCCCAACCCCGGUACUGGAUUUGAAACUGUCCGGCUGGAGUGCAGGAGAGGUAAGCGGAAUUCCUAGUGUAGCGGUGAAAUGCGUAGAUAUUAGGAGGAACACCAGUGGCGAAGGCGGCUUACUGGACUGUAACUGACACUGAGGCACGAAAGCGUGGGGAGCAAACAGGAUUAGAUACCCUUGUAGUC
Molecule: ribosomal RNA, 443 nt
Filed under: uncultured bacterium
Lineage: Bacteria
Description: partial 16S ribosomal RNA
Rfam family: Bacterial small subunit ribosomal RNA
Source: RNAcentral